GUGAAAAUGACCAGAAACUACGUAACCUGCAGAAACAAAGCCACUGAGCCUGUCUGCCUGGCAAGUAGCAGUAAACAGGCCUGCUUUCAUUUUUACAUUCAUUUUUAACUUCAAAAUGGUCCUUGUUCUCUUCUCAAAUGUAUAUGUAUGCCUUGAACGUUGGAGGGGAAGCACUGAAGUAUAUACUGUAGGCCCGUCAUCUGUUUCCGUGGAAAGUCCACUCCGUGUUUUCACUUUCAGUUUAAGUCAGCAUUUUAAAGGGACCUUUUAAAAUGUGGAUAUGCGAAUUAGUUUUUUAGAUAAAAUGAGUGAGAACCAUUACGUCUUUGUAAAUAACACGCAGUUGCUGAUUCCAUUUUGAAGUGAAGGAGCUGUAGGGAAACUGAUCUCAGCUCUGUUGGAACAGACAGCAGCAGCUGUGAAUGGGAGUUGCUUGGCACUGUUGCUGAUUUUGACUGAAGGGCUCACCGAAGUAAAAGUGAAACUACAGAGUGCGCUGACACGCAGGCCAGCCGUUUGUUUCUUUGUUCGGUUUAUCAAACAUUAAAAUAAUUUGUGGACGGAUUAUCUUUAUAUAGUUUAAUCUCCAUAUGGAAUAAUGUGGUGGAAGCAUAAUGUAAGGGUCACAAUCUGCAAAGGAUCAGAAGUGGCCCUGGUGCCCUCCACCUCUGUCUGCAACAGGAGCAGGAAGAAAACAGCAUGAUGGAGGUCUGUCUGUAAAGGAACUAUGUCUGAAACAAAGAUGGAGACACUGAGAACUGCAGAAAUAUACUAAAUAUGGACAUACAGUAAAAAUGAGGUCUGUAGUCAGUACAUAUAGUAUAAUCUUUCACAUCUGCUUUUUAAUGGUUUUAUCAGUUUGUCCAGUCUAGAGUUUACGGACGUCAGGAGAUGAGCUCGUAAGCUGUCAGUUAAUAUGUAUCAUCAUGACUUUAUUGUUGUUUUAAUAUUUAAAAAGUCUUAUCACAAACCUUCAUGGUAAUACAGUAUAUAUGUUCACUUGACCAUUGCUGACCUGGUAUUUUUAUAGCAUUCGAUAGUAGUAGGAAAAAAAACUGAUAUCAUAAACUGAACAAAAGGGGUUAUUCAUGUGCAGUUGUCUUAUCAAAUGUUUAACGUACAGCAUCCUGGUAUCAGCCAGACCUGUGUAUGAUUAGUUAAUAAUUGAUUUGUUGUUCAUUUGCUUCUCCACAAAAGUACUUUUAAGCUCAUCAGUACAAACAUCAAAUAACUUGAUCACAAAGGUUCCAUAAUAUUAACUUGCACAUAAUAAAUUACAAUAAGAAAUGAA
Lates calcarifer (barramundi perch) is the source of this 1291-nucleotide long non-coding RNA. RefSeq lists it as uncharacterized. The transcript has 2 exons. NCBI's taxonomy places the organism in Eukaryota, Metazoa, Chordata, Actinopteri, Centropomidae. The record is from RefSeq and is a predicted model, not a curated record.